Molecule: small nucleolar RNA, 74 nt
Organism: Ochotona princeps (American pika)
Lineage: Eukaryota; Metazoa; Chordata; Mammalia; Lagomorpha; Ochotonidae
Source: Ensembl
UGGAUCAAUGAUGAUGACUUGAGUCAUGAGUCGUGGAUGUGUGAUGACCGCUGGUCUGGAAGUCUGAGGUCCAA